This 694-nucleotide ribosomal RNA is filed under the name uncultured Pseudomonadota bacterium. RNAcentral's name for it is "bacterial SSU rRNA". It matches the Rfam family "Bacterial small subunit ribosomal RNA", at positions 64 to 747 of the family's 1533-position model. Lineage: Bacteria; Pseudomonadati; Pseudomonadota. The record is from RNAcentral.
GAACGGUAACAGGAAACAGCUUGCUGUUUCGCUGACGAGUGGCGGACGGGUGAGUAAUGUCUGGGAAACUGCCUGAUGGAGGGGGAUAACUACUGGAAACGGUAGCUAAUACCGCAUAACGUCGCAAGACCAAAGAGGGGGACCCUCGGGCCUCUUGCCAUCGGAUGUGCCCAGAUGGGAUUAGCUUGUUGGUGGGGUAACGGCUCACCAAGGCGACGAUCCCUAGCUGGUCUGAGAGGAUGACCAGCCACACUGGAACUGAGACACGGUCCAGACUCCUACGGGAGGCAGCAGUGGGGAAUAUUGCACAAUGGGCGCAAGCCUGAUGCAGCCAUGCCGCGUGUAUGAAGAAGGCCUUCGGGUUGUAAAGUACUUUCAGCGGGGAGGAAGGGAGUAAAGUUAAUACCUUUGCUCAUUGACGUUACCCGCAGAAGAAGCACCGGCUAACUCCGUGCCAGCAGCCGCGGUAAUACGGAGGGUGCAAGCGUUAAUCGGAAUUACUGGGCGUAAAGCGCACGCAGGCGGUUUGUUAAGUCAGAUGUGAAAUCCCCGGGCUCAACCUGGGAACUGCAUCUGAUACUGGCAAGCUUGAGUCCCGUAGAGGGGGGUAGAAUUCCAGGUGUAGCGGUGAAAUGCGUAGAGAUCUGGAGGAAUACCGGUGGCGAAGGCGGACCCCUGGACGAAGACUGACGCU